AAGGAUUUAAGUUAAGUGUAAACUUUCAACCUUCAAAGUUGAUAAUAGGGAAGUUCUCUAAGCCUUA
This 67-nucleotide transfer RNA is filed under the name Bruchidius siliquastri. RNAcentral describes it as "tRNA-Trp". Lineage: Eukaryota; Metazoa; Arthropoda; Insecta; Coleoptera; Chrysomelidae. The record is from RNAcentral.